CCGGAUUAGAUACCCUGGUAGUCCACGCCCUAAACGAUGUCUACUAGUUGUCGGGUCUUAAUUGACUUGGUAACGCAGCUAACGCGUGAAGUAGACCGCCUGGGGAGUACGGUCGCAAGAUUAAAACUCAAAGGAAUUGACGGGGACCCGCACAAGCGGUGGAUGAUGUGGAUUAAUUCGAUGCAACGCGAAAAACCUUACCUACCCUUGACAUGUCAGGAAGUCUGGAGAGAUCUGGAUGUGCCCGAAAGGGAGCCUGAACACAGGUGCUGCAUGGCUGUCGUCAGCUCGUGUCGUGAGAUGUUGGGUUAAGUCCCGCAACGAGCGCAACCCUUGUCAUUAGUUGCUACGAAAGGGCACUCUAAUGAGACUGCCGGUGACAAACCGGAGGAAGGUGGGGAUGACGUCAAGUCCUCAUGGCCCUUAUGGGUAGGGCUUCACACGUCAUACAAUGGUGCAUACAGAGGGCCGCCAACCCGCGAGGGGGAGCUAAUCCCAGAAAGUGCAUCGUAGUCCGGAUCGCAGUCUGCAACUCGACUGCGUGAAGUUGGAAUCGCUAGUAAUCGCGGAUCAGCAUGUCGCGGUGAAUACGUUCCCGGGUCUUGUACACACCGCCCGUCACACCAUGGGAGCGGGUUUUACCAGAAGUAGGUAGCUUAACCGCAAGGAGGGCGCUUACCACGGUAGGAUUCGUGACUGGGGUGAAGUCGUAACAAGGUAGC
RNAcentral lists this ribosomal RNA (722 nucleotides) under uncultured bacterium. RNAcentral's name for it is "bacterial SSU rRNA". It matches the Rfam family "Bacterial small subunit ribosomal RNA", at positions 773 to 1500 of the family's 1533-position model. The record is from RNAcentral.